GUACUGGUCAAGAUAAAAGUGGAAAGGUAGAGGCAAAGAAACUAGUUAAUGCCCAAUGUUAAAGGUGACAGAAAGUAAGAUAUUGUGGAGGUGAGAUACCAUGCACUGGUGUUUAAUUGAGAGAGAAAAAAGUAACUUAUAAGAUAAUUCUUAGGUUCUAGGGAAAGCACUAAAUGUAAGUUUGGAGCUGGCCUGAGUGCCAGGAGGGUAGUGGUGUGUUUGUUCACCAAGCAUGGGAAUACCAGGGAAGUAAUACAUUUCUGGGGAAAGUCAAUGAAUUCAGAUUUAUGAUGAGUGAGGUUCAGGUGCCUCUUAGACAUUGAGGUGGACACAUUCAGGAAAAGGAUAAAAAUGGGUCAGGAGACCAGGAAGAAGUCUUGUCUCUACUUUUUGUUGUUAUUGUUCAUUUUUCAUUCAUUUUUCCAGAUCUCUAGUCCACUCUAAUUCCCUGACAUAUUACUAAUGAUACUCUGCCAUCUUUUUCCUUUUUCUCUUACAGAUUCUCCAUAAUUCUUUCAUUCGCCUUUCAAUCUCUGUUUAUAUACCAGUAACAAUAAUCCAUAAAAUUUACUGGAUGCUUACAAUGUGCCAUGCUGUAUUUAAGUGCAUUGUAUGAAUCAUCUCAUUUAUUCCUCAUAACAGCCCUUUACAGGGUUUUACAGGUGAAGAAACUGAGGUUCAGAGAACUUGGAGUAGUUUGGCAUGGUCCCAUCUCUGGUAUGGGUGGAGCUGGAAUUCAAACUCAGGUGACUUGGCGUUCUCUAAUGACUCUCAACUUUAUGUCUUAGGCCUAAGGUAAUUCUGUAUCAAGUGCUUCUCUUAAACUCCAUAUUUGUAUGUUGAAGUUCUUAUUGGGUAUUACUACCCUUUGGCGGUUGCCAUUGUAAGAAAAACCCCUUCCUGAUCUCGCCUUACCCAUCUGGUUUUAUCCUGUACCUCUCUCCUUCUCACACUCUACACUUGGGCUCUGCUGAACUACUGGCAGCCGAGCAAAAACACAUACAGUAAUCGAUCUCAUGGCACCCCACAUAUAUCCAUUCUUUGAGAUCAAGGCAUACAUUUCCACAGAUGCCAGGAUUGUUGGUUGUUGCCCACUUAUAGCUGAGAAUUUCUGGGAGAAUUGCCCUCCACCAGCAGGAGGUACCAGGCACAAAGUUAUACCCUCAACCCAUGUGAGCAGCCUGUAUUACAUGACUGAUUGGUGCAGGAGUAUAAGGCCCAGUCCUAUUUCAUCCAAGAGGGACAACUCUGAGGCUACUGCAGCUCAAGAGCUUCUCCCAUAGAAUCGGCUGAGUCCUCUGUUGGAACUCCACUGCUGUUUUAACUUCUUCCUCCACCUUAUCGUGCUCCCUUCACUCUCUGACAAGUGGUUUUCUUUCCAAGAGCCCUCUCCAUAAAUAUGCAUUCAAAUAUAUACCCCACAGUCUGUUUCCUGAGAAGUCUGACCUAAAACAGUUGGUACCAGAGUGGUGCUAGGCAGUGGCUCUAAAAUGAGAUUUUGGAGCUAUAUUACUCUUUGGCUGGCUGGUGGUUAGGACCUCAUUACUGGUGGUAGGUGAAUUUUGAUAGCUCAUGGAAUGCUGUAGCAAAUGUUAAAUCUUUCAUCAGUAGCAAACUGAGAUGGAAUACUGAAAGGGAAUGUCCUGAUGGGUGUACUGCCUCAGACAUUUGAAAAAUUCUAGGAAAGAAGUAAUUAUAAAGACUGUGGAUUCAGAUGGCUUUGGCUGAGUGCUGUCACGUCAUUAGAGAAAAGCAAUGAAGAACUGAGAUUGAUUAAUCUAACACGUAUAGCAAGGAGUGAAAGCCAGAAGGCCUGAGCAUAGAAACCCUGAGGACCAAAACCAGAAAUGGUUUUAAAGUAUAGCAGAGCUCCAGAGAAGAAGGAUAUGUCAGCCCUGACAAAUCUGCUUCAUCAAGGUCAGGACCUUAAUUGGAAAGCAGUGAAGCUCUGAGACUUGGGAUGGGGUCAACUGGGUUUGUGCACUUAAAAAUCUUGAAUCCUUAGUUUCCUCUGAACUCACAGGAGUACCUUAUUCCUUCUUGUUAAAAGCCAUCUCUUCCCCUUUUCUUGCAAUAUUAUAUGAUAACAUAUGCUACAUUUCCCUUUCCCUUUACCCACUACCUAUCUUCACUUUUCCUCCUGGCUAUCAGACCAAUAACUAGUCACCACAUAAUUGGCUAAGUGUUUGGUUGUCUCCUAGGGGAGGAAAGGAACUACAUCCUAAAGCUGCAGGACCUAGCCAACAUGUAUCAGCAGAAACUGGGAGAGAAUAUAUAAGAAUUGAUCCUGAGGUCUUGGAUCAAGGUGGGGUGGGGUUACAACAUAAAUUUCGAUAAAGGAGAACAAAUUCAUAUGAUAACUCUCUCUAUCGACAGAGCAUUUUAAUACCUUGUCAAGGAUCCAAUGGACAGUGCUAACAGGCUGUUGGAGUGACUCUUAGAAGCUUGGAAAAAGAUAUGGCUCAUACUAAGUACAUACUAACUAAAACUGUCAGAACUUCCAUAGCACACAGUAAAAGAAAGGAUCAAAAUGUUCAGGGGAAUGGUUAUGCUAGAGUGGCUCAACUAUGUAAAGCAGUAAACCCAUCUGCUAACCAUGUUUCACUUAAGGGUCCACAUGGUAUUAUCAGAGUGAUAAAGAAUGUACAGAUGAGGCCAAGCACAGUGAAUUCACACCUGUAAUCUAGUGCUUUAGGGGGCUGAGGUAGGAGGAUCACUUGAGGCCAGGAGUUUGAGACCAGCCUGGGAAACAUAGUGAGACCCCAUCUCUACAAACAAAACAAAACAAAACAAAAAAACAAAACAAAAAAACAAAAAACAAAACAAACCAACAAACAACCAAAAACAUAAAAAUUAGCCAGGUGUAGUGGUGCAUGCCUAUAGUCCUAACUAGUCGGGAGGCUGAGGCAGGAGGAUCACUUGAGCCUAAGAGUUCAAGACUUCAGUGAGCCAUUAUUGCACCGCUGCACUCCAGCCUGAGUAACAGAGUGAGACUCUGUCUCAACAACAACAAAAAAAAGUGUGCUGCUGAGAGGGGAACUAGCAUAAAUGAGGAACUCAGUGGUGGCCAUCCUCUGUAGACCAGAGCUGACAGUAGAAGAUGCUGUUAUAGAACUGGGAAUCUGAUAGCAAUAAAGAGGAUGCCAAAAUAACAGAGGUCAGGUAGUAGCAUUUAACUGUUGGUUGCAAGGUGAUCACCAUUACGAUAAUAAAUGAUCAGUCUGAGUAACAGUCCAUGGAGGUGGUUAAUGGAACUUAGUGUGCCUAUGGGCAGCCAACAAGAGUAUGCCUCAUGAAUGCAAUCAGAUAAUUCAAAGGUGGAUAAAAGGAGGUUGAGGGUACUUACCUCAAUAAAAAGUCAAAAUCCCUUGUCUAAUUUCUGGAACCUCAGUUCUCAGUCUCAGAUUGUACUACUUGGUGGAGAGGUCAGUUUUCUAGGAAAAAGACACUUGUAACUCCAUGUUAAACAUAUGUGAUAAUGAUUCCCUCAGUCCUUCCUCAAGGUACCUAUGACUACUUGGAUAGUUGUGCCCUGGGAAAGUGGAAAUAUCCAGUCAUUUUGAAUAGUGUUGUACACUGGGUCUAAGCUGAUGUUGGUAUCCAGGGACCUAAAACACCAUUGAGCCCUCAAAGCAGGAUAUAGGGACCAAUCGAUAAAUGGAGGCCUGGCCCAGUUCCAUUUCACAGUGAGUUCACUAGGUCUAUGGACUCAUUAGAUGAUCAUUUCUCUGGUCCUUAAAUGUAAAAUUGAAAUAAGCAUACUUGGUAGUUGGGAGAACUGCUGUAUUUGUUCUUUGGCCUUUGGACUGGCAUAUCGCUCUACCAACUGGUUAAGAUGACAGUCAUAUCUGGGAGCAAUCGAAUGGACUAAUUAGUGGUACCAUAUCCUCCAUUCAAAUCACUAGUCUAGAUUCUACAAAACAAACAAACAAUAAAAAACAGGUAGACUUUUGCAGAUACUAAGGGGGUAGUAUCCCUAAUUACAACUGCUGUGCUGAGGUGCCUUCACUAGAACACAUUAACACAGCCUCAUAUCCAUGAUAUGUGGUCAUUGAUCUGAAAAAUGUGUUUUCAUUUCCAUCCUUUUCAGAAAGAAGAAUCAGAAGCAGUGUGUGUUCAUAUGGGAUGGGCAGCAUAUAAUGGUUUUGCCCUGUGCUAUGUUAACUAAGGCUCUUUUUCCUGUAGAACAUUAUCUUGGUCCACUGUCUCAAUGCCAUCAUGUUAAUUGGACUGGAUGAGGAAGAAAUGGCAAGUGCAUUGGAGGUUUUGGUAAGACACAUACAUGUGCUCCAAAGAACAGGAGAUGCAUCUAAUGAAGAUUCAAGGACCUGACGUAUCUGUUUUUAGGAAUAUAGCCAUUUGGGACAUGCCAGAACAGCUUUUUGAAAGAAAAGGACAGUCUAAUGCCUCUCAUGUUGUGCACCCCUAAGAAAGAAGCACAGCUUUUUAAAGCCUUAUUUGGGUUCUAGGGACAGCAUAUUUCAUACUUGGAAAUACUGUUCCAACUCAUUCGCCAAGUGACACAAAAGAUUACCAACUUCAUUUGAGACUUCAAGCAAAAAAGAGCUCUCCUACGUGAUUUGCCACCGGAACUUGGUAGAUGGAAAAUAUGGGAGCUCAACUGACCAUGCAGCCAGAAUUGCCCAUCCUAACUUAGGUAUUUCCAACCUCCAUCAAAUCAUAAGGUUGAGCUAAACCAAUAGCAAUCCAUUGUAAGAUCGAAGUGAUAUAUCUGGAAUUGGGAAUUGGCAGAGACAAAAGACAGAAGUUAAGUUUCAGAGGGCACGGACCUCCAGAUAACCUACCAUUGUUAUGCUAUCACCUUUCCCUAAGCUCACCCCUGUUAUACUGUCACCUUUCCCUAAGCUCACCCCUGUUAUACUGUCAUCUUUCCCUAAGCUUACCGUUAUACUGUUGCCUUUCCCUAUAGCCACAUAGGCAUCCCUUUUGACUGACUGACAAAGGAAGAAAAAGUUACACCUGGGUCAUGAAUGGGUUGGCUCUCUAUGGGGGUCCAAGCUGAGAAAGCACUGUUGCUACUCUACAGUUCCACGUUUGGUGUGAGUAGAUAUUCCAUAAUAUUUCUGUAAACCUUCUGAUGGUGUCCCUGAGAGACAGCAAUGAGGAGUAAUACUCUCAAUGUUUAGAGAAUCAGAUGGUCACAGCCAUUUUUAUGGCUGGAGGUAAGAAUAAAUAGGAACUUACAGGAAGUAACCUCUUGUUUGGCUGAUUGGAUGGGGGCUUGGAAAAAGAGCGAUAGAACGAUCAUAGAAAAAAAGAUCUGGGAAAGAGGCGUGUGCCUCUGCCUGUGGCUGUAGAUUGGAAGUUUGAAUGUCUUUGCAUCUCAUGGCACUGCCCACAAGGAAACAUUCACCAAGAAUGAGGCAUUAAACAGCCGUGUAGACAGCAUGACUCAGCCAGUUGAUGUCAUCAGCAUUUCAUUGCCCAAUGCUGGCCUGAUGGAUGCAUGAAGAAACUGAUCAUUGCUGAGGGAUGGGCUCAGUGGCAUUUAUCCUCACUAACCAAGGCUGAUUUAGGUAUUGUUCUCCAACUGCAUCUAGCUGCUGAUUCCCCAGCUUGCUAGCAAAAGAGCUCAUUACUGAGUCUCUGAUACAGCAAAAUCCCUCAGGGAAACCAACCAGCCACUCAGUGGCAAGUUGAUUACACUGGAACCUCUCUAUCCUGGAAAAGGUAGUGAUUCAUCUCGACUGGAAAAGUCACAUAUUGUGGUAUGAGUUUCCUUUUCAUACCCCAAGGCCUCAGCUAGCACCAUCAGAAGAACGGAAUAUCUACCCACACCAUAUAUGGUGGAACAUAGCCUCAGACCAAACAACAAUGUUGUAGGAGUGUACACAUAACCAUGUAUCUAUUGGGUCUGUUACAUUCUGCACCACUCUGAAGUUGCAGGUCUGAAAGAUAGUGGAAUUGACUUUUGAAGGAGCAGCUUAGAUACUGGCUUGAAGAUGAUACCUUGCACAGAUGAGGCAUUAUCUUUCAGGAUGUAAUAUAUACCCUAAAUCAAAGACCCUUUUACAGUUCUAUUCUCCAGUGGGUCCAGGAUGGCUCUACUUAUCAUCACUACCAGUGAAUGACUCAGUUGAGAAAUGUUUCCUCAAUAAUGCAUGUUUUGGUUCUGUGGAUUCUAAACUAGGUUCUGGAUUCUAAAGUGGAAAUUGUUUUACCAGGGGGCCCAGUAAGAGUCCCAUUAAACUUUAAACUACGGCUACUGUAGGGUCAUUUAAGUUUCUUCAUGCCAAGAGUCCAGUAAGCAAUAAAAGAAAACAAUGUUGGUAGAGAAAUGGACAAGUACAGCAGCCACAGUAUGGUGUGGUUACCAGAAGCCUAGGAACUCAGGGAUGACUGUCUGGGUAACCCCACCAGUUUCCCAGAAAAAGAGACCAACCAGAAACUUGAAGGAGCUCUUCCCAGAUGGAAUAAACUUACCGUGUGAAUCACGUGAAUCCAAGGGAUGCAAGGAUUGGCCUAUACUGGAUUGGAUGCUCUGGUAUACUACUCAGAUUUCCUCUUCAGAACUAAUGCAUUUAUCCCCCAGCUACGAAAUUGUUGGCUGCUGGCAGUCUAUAGCUAAUGCAGUCACUGGAAAUUAUCCUUGGUUGAAGGGACCUAACUUGUCCAAGUCUACACCUAUUUCCAGGAAUAGUUCAAUCCAUUGACUUGUUGAUGCAGGACUACACAGGUCAAGCCUUCUUGUUUUGAUGUGGACAAAUCUGAAGGGAUAUCCCAGCUCCAGACCUCUCAUAGGUCUGAGCUAAAGAGACCUCAUAGGUCUGUGUCAAUUUCUGUCUUUACCCAGUCCUGCUUCUCUCAUUCCUUUAUAGGUGUUGUUCUGGAACUUCCUAAUAAACCAACUGCAUGCAAAUAUCUGCCUCAGAAUUUGUUUUCUAAACAGACUUCUCCUAAGGUAGAAGGAAAACUCUCCCUGCUUGCAGGCCUUUCAACAUGCUAACUACUAGGAGCAUCCUCAUCCAUCCUCCUGAGCUUUACCUAAUCCAGUGACUUCUUUUGAUUACACAGAAUUCUUCCCAGGAGUCUCUAAAAGACAAUAAAACCAGGAUGUAACCCUUGGAAGAUUGAUACAUAAGAGUAGGUAGGAAAAGAAGUAGGUACAAGGAUAGAGGGAAAGAUAGGCUGGAGAUGAGAAAAGUUCCCUUAAAACGUUGCAGAACCAAGAAUGCAGGCAUGUCAAGGUGCUGAUGUGCUGAAAGGUUAAACAGUAGUUUUGACUAUGGGUGUCACAUUUUAGCUGUCCUCCUUCCUCUACUUCAACCACAGCCUUUGUGGGUGGCCAAUAACCUAUGUUAUGACCUUUCACACUUAACCUUUAAUAACCACUCUCUUUGUAGUUGGAAUAAUCAGAUUCUCUCUCUUCCUUUUCUUGAGAAUUUGAUUUAGGAAAUGUGAAAAUGGCAGAGUUAGCAGUGGAAGAAGAGUUGAAAGAGACUAUGUAGUUAACCAUGCAUGAGGUUGAGCCUAGGCAAUGAAAGCAGAGACUGUAAUUUAAACUCAGGUCCAACAAAUGCAAGUGGCUUGGAGAGGAGGUUGAAAUGGAUGGGCAAAGAAGUGGAGGCCAAGUGAGAGAGAGAUUCAUAUAGUCCAUGAAAAUGUAGCAGGUAUAAAGUGGGGGCUCCCUGAAGCUACCCUCUCUCUAGUUCUGCUUCCAGCUCCGAUUAAUGUCUCGGUUGUUAUAACAGACUCUCUUCUUCUUCUUCAGAAAACCUGAAUAAGACAUUGUUCUUUGUGAUUAAGGAACCGAACUAAAACAGAAGCCAGGGGAAGAACACAUGUUUUCUUUCUCCCAAUCAAUGCUCUCUCUACUGAAUCCUCUGUCCAUUGUACCUGCAUAGGCCUCCUUCUCUACCACCUGACCAAUAUUCCCUAUACAGCCUACAUAGUGGGAGGAGGGAGGCAAAUGGUCCAUGAGAUAUAAUUCAUAAAAUCUAUACUAAUUAUGCCAUAAGGUGACUGUCUCAAACAACCAGACUAACUCAUUGCCAGUUUUUUAAAAGUAUUCUAAUCCUAUGAUGACUCUGUUACUGAAUAAACAUAUUACCAAUCAUCCUAUUUGUAUGGGUAGGGCUGA
This is a long non-coding RNA of Pan troglodytes (chimpanzee), 8101 nucleotides long. RefSeq lists it as uncharacterized. The record is from RefSeq and is a predicted model, not a curated record. NCBI's taxonomy places the organism in Eukaryota, Metazoa, Chordata, Mammalia, Primates, Hominidae. The transcript is spliced from 3 exons.